CUGAUGCUCAGUCAGCACCGAGACAACAUGGUGGUUGCAGCUUUCUGCUUCAGACUGUUCAUGCUUGGAUUCAUUCUGCUGGGUGCACAUGUUGAGAACAGAGAUGCAGCUUUUCGU
Molecule: long non-coding RNA, 117 nt
Organism: Dicentrarchus labrax (European seabass)
Lineage: Eukaryota; Metazoa; Chordata; Actinopteri; Moronidae
Exons: 3
Source: RefSeq, a predicted model, not a curated record